Molecule: long non-coding RNA, 321 nt
Filed under: Dromaius novaehollandiae (emu)
Lineage: Eukaryota; Metazoa; Chordata; Aves; Casuariiformes; Dromaiidae
Description: lncRNA (ENSDNVG00000005962.1)
Source: RNAcentral
UGACCUGAAGAAGCUUCUCGAGCAUUCUGGCGAAAUUCUGGAAGUUCAGAAGAUCAGAGAUGUACCCAGCUGGUGAACUGGAGACUUAGAAGAACUGGUGCAGGGAUAGAUGGAGUCCUAGCUGGUUGGUUACCAGCAUGUGGAAACACUGAUUAUGACCACCGCCCUUCCAUCCCGUUGGUGUUACUGCUGGAGACCUGACCAGCGCUCCUCAAACAGCGCAACGACCCCCUGAUGGAGACCAGUGUUCUACAGCUUCACCGGCAGAAAGGACCUAUGUGUUCCUGGUGCAGCCGCUCCUGCUGGGCCACGAUGGAGGAU